AAGUGCAUGGAUAAGAUGCAAAUUGUAGAGGUAAAAUGUGUCAUUAGACAAACUUUACAGUUGUUCAACGAAAUUGAUUCAAGUUUCAGAAAAAUUCGUUUCAUUGUUUUGUAUUUUUAUACUGGAGUGGCUCUUCAGUCAAUCUGGUUUCUUCAUUUCGGCAUAUUCACUGGAAAUCAUUCUAUUGUGUUGGAUACUCUCAUUGCUGGCCUUGGGAUCACCGUAAUAACUGAUAUUUCAGCGAUAAGCUUGUUCUGUGCUGCAUUAACGAACAAGGUUGAGAGUCUCUAUCCAAAGUGGCAUCGAAUAUAUUCUAAAAGAAAAAUACCUAUUUUCAUGAAGUUACAGAUUAUUGAAAUCUUAAAUAGGAUAACAUUACCUACAAACGGAAUUCAAAUUGGUGAUUAUGGUUUGAUAACGAAACAAUUUGUGCUAAAG
Tetranychus urticae (two-spotted spider mite) is the source of this 438-nucleotide non-coding RNA. NCBI's taxonomy places the organism in Eukaryota, Metazoa, Arthropoda, Arachnida, Trombidiformes, Tetranychidae. The record is from RefSeq and is a predicted model, not a curated record.